Cryptomeria japonica (Japanese cedar) is the source of this 212-nucleotide long non-coding RNA. RefSeq lists it as uncharacterized. The transcript is spliced from 3 exons. The record is from RefSeq and is a predicted model, not a curated record. NCBI's taxonomy places the organism in Eukaryota, Viridiplantae, Streptophyta, Pinopsida, Cupressales, Cupressaceae.
GGAAUAGAACACUCCUAAAUUUUCUUGUUUCCUGCGGAGGAUCCACCAUGUUCUUGAAGUCUAUUGAUGCUUCCUCACAUGUGAAAAAUGCCACAUACUUAUGUGAGGCUAUUGAGGAAGUCAUACAAGAGGUGGGGGAAGAAAAUGUGGUGCAGGUGGUGACAGAUAAUGCAGCAAGUUAUGUUGCUGCAGGUAAACUUUUGAUGGAGAGC